RNAcentral lists this transfer RNA (76 nucleotides) under Candidatus Nucleicultrix amoebiphila FS5. RNAcentral's name for it is "tRNA-Ala". It matches the Rfam family "tRNA". From Rfam's summary of the family: Transfer RNA (tRNA) molecules are approximately 80 nucleotides in length. Lineage: Bacteria; Pseudomonadati; Pseudomonadota; Alphaproteobacteria; Holosporales; Nucleicultricaceae (SeqCode). The record is from RNAcentral.
GGGGUCAUAGCUCAGCUGGGAGAGCGCUACGAUGGCAUUGUAGAGGUCGGGGGUUCGAUCCCCCCUGACUCCACCA